CGGCCGCGGACUGCGUCCCUGGGGACACUGGAGGGGACUCCAGGGACAGCGUGGGUGGGCCUUUCCCCCGCACGCGCCUCUGUCACUCUCUUUCCGGGCCAGAGCCGGGGCAGCGCUCUAAAUUAAGGUCGACCUCCAGCGCUGGGUGAAGUCUUGAGUCCGCCCGGGAGCCCUAGAAGAGACUGGGGCAGCAUGAAUGUGCUGGAAGAUUAGAGGCUGCUGAUGCUGAAGGAAGGAGAAACGAGGAGGAAGUGUCCCUGUGGACAAGUCAUCUCCCUUCAUUUAAGCCAGGCCAGUAGUCCGGGAGACAUUCUGAAUGAUGCAUUAUCCUAGGCACCAGAAAGUAUCUAACAUUCUCAUGGACAGCAGGGAAAAAUGAGCACAUGAGACAGGGGAAGAUUCCAGCACCUGUGAACAUGUUUGUGCAGGUUUCCAGUCAGUACAUGGAUAUCCCUCAAGCCUUUGAAUCCAGUCUCCUGUGUUGUGAUUGGACCGUUUGUCAUUAGGUUUCCAGUGGCAGAGUAAUGCUGUGGGAGAACUGGCUACGAUGGCCGCAGGAGGUGAAUUAAGUAUUGUUGUGUUUUUAGUAGAACCACUAAAGGAAGAUCUGCAGGCAAGUUGGAUGAGUAUAAGAGCCAAAGAUUGACAAGACUUCCUCAGAUGCUCCUACUGACCAGUGGGGGCACUUCUACAGCUCCCCGAAUAUGUUCUCCCUGCAACCCCCACCACUUUUUAAUUAAAUGGCCAGAACUGCCUUUUUGUAUCAAAACUUAUUUUAGUCUAUCAAUCAAAGGCUUCUAUAGCCCACCUCAUGGCAAAGGAUAUCAGAGAGGUAAAAGAUAAUUGUUUUGACAUAUUUAUUAUCACAACUAGCGACUCUUUCUGCAUUCACAUUGGCUGGUAUGCAGAAAAGGGUGCUUUACAGGAUUCUUGGAAAUGUGUAGUGGAUGCUGGCUCUAGGGGAGGCAGAAUAGAGUGUGGGUUCUGCCAUGGGUCACAUCCGGGUUUUAAUUCUGCCUCUGCCACAUGACCUUGAGCACACUGGAAAACCCUAUUAGAUGUGCAAGAAGGCUUCCCCAUCUGUAAAGGUGGGUGACUUAGCAACUUUAGCAAUGCUUAAGUCACCCGGUUGUUGUGAGUAAUACAUAAGUUAAUGUAUGCUAACUUUCUAGAAAGUUUCCUGGCACAAAGUUGUAUUUAAUAAAUGAUUUUUAAAACAA
This 1220-nucleotide long non-coding RNA is filed under the name Homo sapiens (human). RNAcentral's name for it is "long intergenic non-protein coding RNA 237". The record is from RNAcentral. Lineage: Eukaryota; Metazoa; Chordata; Mammalia; Primates; Hominidae.